RNAcentral lists this ribosomal RNA (492 nucleotides) under uncultured bacterium. Its description in RNAcentral is "partial 16S ribosomal RNA". It matches the Rfam family "Bacterial small subunit ribosomal RNA", at positions 29 to 507 of the family's 1533-position model. The record is from RNAcentral.
AGUGAACGCUGGCGGUAGGCCUAACACAUGCAAGUCGAACGGAAGCACAGUAAGAGCUUGCUCUUACGGGUGGCGAGUGGCGGACGGGUGAGGAAUACAUCGGAAUCUACUUUUUCGUGGGGGAUAACGUAGGGAAACUUACGCUAAUACCGCAUACGACCUACGGGUGAAAGCAGGGGAGCUUCGGAGCUUGCGCGAUAGAUUGAGCCGAUGUCGGAUUAGCUAGUUGGCGGGGUAAAGGCCCACCAAGGCGACGAUCCGUAGCUGGUCUGAGAGGAUGAUCAGCCACACUGGAACUGAGACACGGUCCAGACUCCUACGGGAGGCAGCAGUGGGGAAUAUUGGACAAUGGGCGCAAGCCUGAUCCAGCCACGCCGCGUGGGUGAAGAAGGCCUUCGGGUUGUAAAGCCCUUUUGUUGGGGAAGAAAAGCAGCAGGUUAAAACCCCGCUGUUCUGACGGUACCUAAAGAAUAAGCACCGGCUAACUUCGUG